AACGCGAAGAACCUUACCUACCCUUGACAUGUCUUGGAUCGGUUUCAGAGAUGAGACCUUCUCUUCGGAGCCAGGAACACAGGUGCUGCAUGGCUGUCGUCAGCUCGUGUCGUGAGAUGUUGGGUUAAGUCCCGCAACGAGCGCAACCCUUGCCUUUAGUUGCCAUCAUUCAGUUGGGCACUCUAGAGGGACUGCCGGUGAUAAGCCGGAGGAAGGUGGGGAUGACGUCAAGUCCUCAUGGCCCUUACGGGUAGGGCUACACACGUGCUACAAUGGUGGUGACAAUGGGCAGCGAGGCGGUGACGCCAAGCUAAUCUCAAAAAGCCAUCUCAGUUCAGAUUGCACUCUGCAACUCGAGUGCAUGAAGUUGGAAUCGCUAGUAAUCGCUAAUCAGCAGGUAGCGGUGAAUACGUUCCCGGGCCUUGUACACACCGAGUAUA
RNAcentral lists this ribosomal RNA (440 nucleotides) under uncultured bacterium. Its description in RNAcentral is "bacterial SSU rRNA". It matches the Rfam family "Bacterial small subunit ribosomal RNA", at positions 958 to 1398 of the family's 1533-position model. The record is from RNAcentral.